RNAcentral lists this ribosomal RNA (399 nucleotides) under Rhampholeon spectrum. RNAcentral describes it as "12S ribosomal RNA". The record is from RNAcentral. Lineage: Eukaryota; Metazoa; Chordata; Lepidosauria; Squamata; Chamaeleonidae.
AGAUACCCUACUAUGCCUGGUCAUAAAUACUGAUACCAAUCUGCCAGAGAACAACGAGCUAAAGCUUGCAACCCAAAGGACUUGGCGGCGCUCUACAUCACCCUAGAGGGGCCUGUCACAUAAUCGAUAACCCACGAUAAACCCCACCCCUUUUAACCACAUUAGCCUAUAUACCGCCGUCGACAGCCCAUCUUAAAAAGACACUAUCGGCCUAAUAGUUCCAACACUAACACGACAGGUCAAGGUGUAGCUCAUAAAGCGGCAAAUGAUGGACCACAUUACCAACAAAGUCAAACCAAGAUUAUACUGAAACACACAAUUUAAGGCGAAUUUAACAGUAAGACAAACAAGAGAACUUAUCUAAAACCCGCCCUAGAGCGUGCACACACCGCCCGUCAC